AGAGUUUGAUCAUGGCUCAGAUUGAACGCUGGCGGCAUGCCUUACACAUGCAAGUCGAACGGCAGCACGGGGGCAACCCUGGUGGCGAGUGGCGAACGGGUGAGUAAUGCAUCGGAACGUGCCCAGUCGUGGGGGAUAACGUAGCGAAAGCUACGCUAAUACCGCAUACGAUCUGCGGAUGAAAGCGGGGGACCUUCGGGCCUCGCGCGAUUGGAGCGGCCGAUGUCAGAUUAGGUAGUUGGUGGGGUAAAGGCCUACCAAGCCGACGAUCUGUAGCUGGUCUGAGAGGACGACCAGCCACACUGGGACUGAGACACGGCCCAGACUCCUACGGGAGGCAGCAGUGGGGAAUUUUGGACAAUGGGCGCAAGCCUGAUCCAGCAAUGCCGCGUGCAGGAUGAAGGCCUUCGGGUUGUAAACUGCUUUUGUACGGAACGAAAGGGCUCUGGCUAAUACCUGGAGCUGAUGACGGUACCGUAAGAAUAAGCACCGGCUAACUACGUGCCAGCAGCCGCGGUAAUUC
Molecule: ribosomal RNA, 523 nt
Filed under: uncultured bacterium
Lineage: Bacteria
Description: bacterial SSU rRNA
Rfam family: Bacterial small subunit ribosomal RNA
Source: RNAcentral